Non-coding RNA from Hypoxylon sp. CI-4A, 94 nucleotides. The record is from the annotation of a GenBank genome assembly. Lineage: Eukaryota; Fungi; Ascomycota; Sordariomycetes; Xylariales; Hypoxylaceae.
GCCCGACUAGCUCACCGGUAGAGCGCCUCACUAGUAUGGCUGAGGAGAAUUGUCUGAAAUGAGGAGGCAACAGGUUCGACUCCUGUGUUGGGCA